AAAAUCAAAAACAAAAAAAAUGAUAUACAUUACCAUGCAAACUUCCACCGAAAAUUGGUUUGAACGAGAUCUAGUAAGUAGUUUUUUUUUAAUACGUCAUAAAUGGUACGGAACCCUUCAUGGGCGAGUCCGACUCGCACUUGGCCGCUUUUAUUUAGGAUAGCCUUUGUCUUUUCGGUCGUUUUCGUCAAGAGGCAUAAAACCAUUUUUUGUACUUGUAGGUGAGCUUCCUAUACAUUAAUGUUACUGGGACAAUAGGCGGACCCAGUGUCUGAGAAAUGUGAAUCGCAGCUAGCAGUAUUUUCAUUUUCAGAUGUUCAGGAAAUCUGAAUAAAAUGGCCAGUUUUUCGUCCAGAAUGUGAUAAGGGGCAAUAUGUGCUAGUGCUAGGCACAUCUCCAAAAUAGUCGGUUGCGGGUGAUAAUUGGAUUAUCUCUCCAUUUGAUUCGUCUAAUAUAUAGUUGAGACUGCCCGAGAAGUGAUCAUUAUAAGCUUCUACACUGGUCUGCGGCAAGGUUGAUAGGAAGUCAGUAUCACCCACGAAGCCUUCCUUCGCAGUUUGAAAUAACCCUUCCUUGUUCCUUUAGAAUUUCCAUCAUGGAUAAUGUGUAGGUAUUUUAUUGUAAUAAUCACAUGUACUUGGAAAAAUUACUAAUGACAGUGACAGGAUAGUUAUAGUUUUUCUUAUCUGACACUUAUCUUAGGUAUCUUAGUGGCCAAGUACCUCAUCAAAUAAAAAGGUAAAAGAUAGAUAGCAAAGUUUAUCCUGUUUAUGUAUUAACAAGGUUUAUGCAGUUACGAAAAUUGUGUCAAUGAGAUACGAGGAAACCAUAUCACGAUUUACUCUUAACUCUUUGCUUGGAUCAAGAUAAGAGUUUAUUUUAACGAUUUAACACAAAAAGGCCUAGACAUAUACGGAAAAACACAAAAAGAGGUCAAUAAUUCAGAUACGAGGUUGAGUAAGUAUAGCGACGAAAUAAACAAAGUCGGAAUUUUAGUUUUCAUUGUACAGUAUCAGUUGCAUAGAGUACUAUGUAUAAUUGUACAAUAAUGGAUGCGUUGUUUUUAAAAUGGACCUCGUAAAACUAAAAAUGAACACAACGUUACAGUUCUAUCGUAGAAUAUUGCGUUCUAGGGAGGUACAAACGCUAACAAUAGAAACAAGGGGUCGCCUGUCGCCCCAGCGCUCCCUUUGUGGAUAGGACAUUAUCAGAUUCCCUUUUAGAAACUGACUGUUAUGUUUAGUAGGUAUAAGUAGUUUAAACAGUCCUGUGUUGACGUCUUUAAUCAUGAGCAUGAUAGCUAUUUAAUGCCAUACCUACUCCAAAAUAUGACAGACGCAGUUGAUUGUUUGAAUUUUCACUCUAGCAAAAUUGUACGAGAAGAUAACAGGAAAACGCCAAUAGAGUCUAGCUAACCAAAUAUUGUUGACAGAUAUUUCCUUGUUGUAUCACCAAUUGUCUAUGAUUAAAAAAAAAGGUAAAAGUCUGUUGUCAAUUUAUGUCAUUCAUUUAAAUUGUUCGCCGUUUAUAAGGGGUUUAUUUCAGUUUAUUUUAAAUAAUAUUAAUAAUGACUAUACCGAGUGAGGUCCGCAAACUAUUAUUUAACCUCGUAAAUAAUUACGACAAUGUGCGAAGUCGACGUAAAACGUUGUAUAACGAAAAACUGCAAUGUUUACAAGGUUGGUGCUCUAUUAAUAUUUUGAUACAUUAAGUAGGUACUAGUUCUAACAUUUGCCUAUAACUUUGAUUAAGUACGUGAAUUUCUUAAUACCUGAAUCUCAUGAACAGGACAAGUGUGUAAACAAACGGAUAAACUAGAAGUUCUGAAAAAUAUCAUUAAAAUCAAAACAUUGUUUACUGAACACCAUACAUACGAGUUACUGAAAACCAAUAUUUAGAAGAAAUCUGUGGAGUGACUGCGUCCUCGACUAAGUGCGGACCGAGAGAAGCAAGCGUGCUCCACUUGCAGGAAGGAGGAGCGCGCGCGGCGCAUCGCUUGUGGGCCCUGAACUUGCACAACUCGCAGGCUAACGCGUGUGCUGUGCCCAGCGCGCCGAACGGCUCGCGGCACACGUUGCAAAACGUUGGCCGGGCGUGUGUUGCUGAGUACCUAUUACAAACGGAUAAAACAUUGUCUUAACUGGAAUCCUGGUUGUGUAUAUAUAAUACUUUUGUAAUUUUUAUUUUUAUAAUAAACUAGCUGUUAUCCACGA
Molecule: long non-coding RNA, 2213 nt
Organism: Cydia pomonella (codling moth)
Lineage: Eukaryota; Metazoa; Arthropoda; Insecta; Lepidoptera; Tortricidae
Exons: 2
Source: RefSeq, a predicted model, not a curated record